CCUGCCACCUGUUGACUUGCACAUUUCCAUUGCAGGCGCUUCCAGGGGCUGCUGAAGGGCAAGAGCCAGAGAGCUCCUCUGAGUACAGCAGGGCACGGGAAGCUCCUCAGGACCUGCAGCAAGACACCAUCAGGAGAAAGCAGAGCUGCGAGGAGGAGAGGGACAGCCAGGCAGACAUUGAAAGGCAAAAGGCGGAUCCCAAGCUUGAAGAGACUCCUGAAGAAAUGUCACCUGCUGGGCUCAAUUCUGGAACACCUGAUGGGCACAGGGGACAUUCUUCGGAGGAGAAAAGUUUUGUUUCUGUUUAGCUUCAUACUGAGAGU
Molecule: long non-coding RNA, 323 nt
Organism: Pogoniulus pusillus (Red-fronted tinkerbird)
Lineage: Eukaryota; Metazoa; Chordata; Aves; Piciformes; Lybiidae
Exons: 3
Source: RefSeq, a predicted model, not a curated record